AGAGUUUGAUCCUGGCUCAGAUUGAACGCUGGCGGUAUGCUUAACACAUGCAAGUCGAACGGUAACAGGCCUUCGGGCGCUGACGAGUGGCGGACGGGUGAGUAACGCGUAGGAAUCUGGCUCAUAGUGGGGGACAACGUGGGGAAACUCACGCUAAUACCGCAUACGCCCUACGGGGAAAGCGGGGGAUCUUCGGACCUCGCGCUAUGAGAUGAGCCUGCGUUAGAUUAGCUAGUUGGUAGGGUAAAGGCCUACCAAGGCGACGAUCUAUAGCUGGUCUGAGAGGACGAUCAGCCACACUGGGACUGAGACACGGCCCAGACUCCUACGGGAGGCAGCAGUGGGGAAUAUUGGACAAUGGGCGCAAGCCUGAUCCAGCAAUACCGCGUGUGUGAAGAAGGCCUUAGGGUUGUAAAGCACUUUCAAUUGGGAGGAAAACCUGCCGGUCAAUACCCGGUAGCUUGACAUUACCUUUAGAAGAAGCACCGGCUAACUCCGUG
RNAcentral lists this ribosomal RNA (500 nucleotides) under uncultured bacterium. Its description in RNAcentral is "bacterial SSU rRNA". It matches the Rfam family "Bacterial small subunit ribosomal RNA", at positions 8 to 507 of the family's 1533-position model. The record is from RNAcentral.